RNAcentral lists this ribosomal RNA (467 nucleotides) under uncultured bacterium. RNAcentral's name for it is "bacterial SSU rRNA". It matches the Rfam family "Bacterial small subunit ribosomal RNA", at positions 28 to 526 of the family's 1533-position model. The record is from RNAcentral.
GACGAACGUUGGCGGCGUGGAUUAGGCAUGCAAGUCGCGGGAAUCCCAGCAAUGGGGGAACCGGCGUAAGGGGCAGUAAUGCGUGGGUACCUACCCCGGGGUCCGGGAUAGCCGUCCGAGAGGGCGGGUAAUACCGGAUGACCUCGGGAGAGCAAAGCUCCGGCGCCCUGGGAGGGGCCCACGUGAUAUUAGCUAGUUGGUGAGGUGACGGCUCACCAAGGCGGAGAUGUCUAGCGGGUGUGAGAGCACGACCCGCGCCACUCGCACUGAGACACUGGCGAGACACCUACGGGUGGCUGCAGUCGAGGAUCUUCGGCAAUGUGCGCAAGCACGACCGAGCGACGCCGCGUGGGCGAUGAAGGCCUUCGGGUUGUAAAGCCCUGUCGAGGGGGAGAAAAGCGGGAAACCGUGUGAUCUAUCCCUGGAGGAAGCUCGGGCUAAGUUCGUGCCAGCAGCCGCAGUAACAC